AUUGAACGCUGGCGGCAUGCCUUACACAUGCAAGUCGAACGGUAACAGGUCUUCGGAUGUUGACGAGUGGCGAACGGGUGAGUAAUACAUCGGAACGUGCCUAGUAGUGGGGGAUAACUACUCGAAAGAGUGGCUAAUACCGCAUGAGAUCUACGGAUGAAAGCAGGGGAUCGCAAGACCUUGUGCUACUAGAGCGGCCGAUGGCAGAUUAGGUAGUUGGUGGGAUAAAAGCUUACCAAGCCGACGAUCUGUAGCUGGUCUGAGAGGACGAUCAGCCACACUGGGACUGAGACGCGGCCCAGACUCCUACGGGAGGCAGCAGUGGGGAAUUUUGGACAAUGGGCGAAAGCCUGACCCAGCAAUGCCGCGUGCAGGAUGAAGGCCUUCGGGUUGUAAACUGCUUUUGUACGGAACGAAAAGCCCCGGGUUAAUACCCUGGGGUCAUGACGGUACCGUAAGAAUAAGCACCGGCUAACUUCGUGCCAGCAGCCGCAGUAA
Molecule: ribosomal RNA, 498 nt
Filed under: uncultured bacterium
Lineage: Bacteria
Description: partial 16S ribosomal RNA
Rfam family: Bacterial small subunit ribosomal RNA
Source: RNAcentral